Molecule: ribosomal RNA, 361 nt
Filed under: uncultured Hydrogenophaga sp.
Lineage: Bacteria; Pseudomonadati; Pseudomonadota; Betaproteobacteria; Burkholderiales; Comamonadaceae
Description: bacterial SSU rRNA
Rfam family: Bacterial small subunit ribosomal RNA
Source: RNAcentral
CUCGAAAGAGAGCCGUAACACAGGUGCUGCAUGGCUGUCGUCAGCUCGUGUCGUGAGAUGUUGGGUUAAGUCCCGCAACGAGCGCAACCCUUGUCAUUAGUUGCUACGAAAGGGCACUCUAAUGAGACUGCCGGUGACAAACCGGAGGAAGGUGGGGAUGACGUCAAGUCCUCAUGGCCCUUAUAGGUGGGGCUACACACGUCAUACAAUGGCUGGUACAAAGGGUUGCCAACCCGCGAGGGGGAGCCAAUCCCAUAAAGCCAGUCGUAGUCCGGAUCGCAGUCUGCAACUCGACUGCGUGAAGUCGGAAUCGCUAGUAAUCGUGGAUCAGCAUGUCACGGUGAAUACGUUCCCGGGUCUU